CACCUAGACGUUCUGGGCUGCACGCGCGCUACAAUAAUACGCACAGCGAGUAUCACCGAGCUCGAAAGGGCAAGGUAAACAAUAGAAAAGGUACUGUAAUGGUUAUAGAUCCUUGUAAUUAUUGAUCUUCAACGAGGAAUUCCUAGUAAGUAUGUGUCAUCAUCACGCACUGAUUACGUCCCUGCCCUUUGUACACACCGCCCGUCGCUCCUACCGAUUGGGUGAGCCGAUGAAACUCUCGGAUGUAGGCUAUUCAUAGCCCGCAGAAGAGAUUUGAAUCGUAGCGCUUAGAGGAAGGAGAAGUCGUAACA
Molecule: ribosomal RNA, 311 nt
Filed under: uncultured eukaryote
Lineage: Eukaryota
Description: partial 18S ribosomal RNA
Rfam family: Eukaryotic small subunit ribosomal RNA
Source: RNAcentral